RNAcentral lists this ribosomal RNA (253 nucleotides) under uncultured bacterium. RNAcentral describes it as "partial 16S ribosomal RNA". It matches the Rfam family "Bacterial small subunit ribosomal RNA", at positions 524 to 776 of the family's 1533-position model. The record is from RNAcentral.
GACGGAGGGGGCUAGCGUUGUUCGGAAUUACUGGGCGUAAAGAGUGCGUAGGCGGUUUAGUAAGUUGGAAGUGAAAGCCCGAGGCUUAACCUCGGAAUUGCUUUCAAAACUACUAAUCUAGAGUGUAGUAGGGGAUGAUGGAAUUCCUAGUGUAGAGGUGAAAUUCUUAGAUAUUAGGAGGAACACCGGUGGCGAAGGCGGUCAUCUGGGCUACAACUGACGCUGAUGCACGAAAGCGUGGGGAGCAAACAGG